RNAcentral lists this ribosomal RNA (456 nucleotides) under uncultured bacterium. RNAcentral's name for it is "bacterial SSU rRNA". It matches the Rfam family "Bacterial small subunit ribosomal RNA", at positions 349 to 793 of the family's 1533-position model. The record is from RNAcentral.
CAGUCAGUGGGGAAUAUUGCACAAUGGGCGCAAGCCUGAUGCAGCCAUGCCGCGUGUAUGAAGUAAGGCCUUCGGGUUGUUAAAGUACUUUCAGCAGUGAGGAAGGCGGAGUCGUUAAUAGCGGCCUCGUUUGACGUUUAGCUGCAGAAGAAGCACCGGCUAACUCCGUGCCAGCAGCCGCGGUAAUACGGAGGGUGCGAGCGUUAAUCGGAAUUACUGGGCGUAAAGCGCAUGCAGGUGGUUUGUUAAGUCAGAUGUGAAAGCCCGGGGCUCAACCUCGGAAUUGCAUUUGAAACUGGCAGACUAGAGUACUGUAGAGGGGGUAGAAUUUCAGGUGUAGCGGUGAAAAUGCGUAGAGAUCUGAAGGAAUACCGGUGGCGAAGGCGGCCCCCUGGACAGAUACUGACACUCAGAUGCGAAAGCGUGGGGAGCAAACAGGAUUAGAUACCCUGGUAG